Molecule: long non-coding RNA, 300 nt
Organism: Pelobates fuscus (common spadefoot toad)
Lineage: Eukaryota; Metazoa; Chordata; Amphibia; Anura; Pelobatidae
Exons: 3
Source: RefSeq, a predicted model, not a curated record
GGAAGAAGUUCUAAAAUGUUGCCAAGAAGGCACAUUUAGACGUCGCCUUCCCCCUUCUGUUACAUCUAAAUUUGCUGUGCUUGAUAAAAGCUUUAGACAUUAUGAUACCUAUGUCAGAUAUAAAAAAGAGGAGAAGAUUCCCAAUAUACCAUACUAUAUUCGGGUGACUCCAAAGAAAUCCAACGUAGAAAUACGAUAUGCUCGACCACCUAGGGACCCAUUCCUUUUCUCUAAGGUAAAGCCUACAUUACUUCCAACUCAAUACAAAACAACUAAAAAGGCUCGAAAUGUCCCAGAAAA